This 373-nucleotide ribosomal RNA is filed under the name uncultured bacterium. Its description in RNAcentral is "bacterial SSU rRNA". It matches the Rfam family "Bacterial small subunit ribosomal RNA", at positions 525 to 896 of the family's 1533-position model. The record is from RNAcentral.
ACAGAGGGUGCAAACGUUGUUCGGAAUUACUGGGCGUAAAGCGCGUGUAGGCUGCUUCGCAAGUCGGAUGUGAAAGCCCUGGGCUCAACCCAGGAAGUGCAUUCGAAACUGCAGAGCUGGAGUCCUGGAGAGGAAGGCGGAAUUCUCGGUGUAGAGGUGAAAUUCGUAGAUAUCGAGAGGAACACCGGUGGCGAAGGCGGCCUUCUGGACAGUGACUGACGCUGAGACGCGAAAGCGUGGGGAGCAAACAGGAUUAGAUACCCUGGUAGUCCACGCCGUAAACGAUGGGUGCUAGGUGUUGCGGGCUUUGACCCCUGCAGUGCCGUAGCUAACGCAUUAAGCACCCCGCCUGGGGAGUACGGCCGCAAGGCUA